CGGGGCAGCAUCCAACCACCGCGCGCCCCUACGUCCCUGAACCGCCACCACGUUUCACCCAGAGGCCGCCGCGGCGCUUCAUCCCGAGACCGCGACGUCGAGACGGCUUGAACCGCCGCUCCUCCCGCGUCCGCAGGACGUCGAGGCCGUCCAGCGGUGUGGUCCGCCGACGCAUCUGCUCGGGGCGGCGGCGAGGGCCUACUGGACGAGCGCCGCCUGAUCGCGCUCCAGGCCACCGGGUCGGCCUCGUCGACGAGGUGCAGAGGCUGUAGCGAGAGACCGCGUGAAGCGGUACAGGGACGUACGUGCGGCGGCCGCUGUUGUAGUCGACCGCGCUCCUCCCUUCGAGCCACUGUUAUACCUAACCCAUCCCCUCCCUAACCCUCCUUCCAAGAAAAACCUUUUUAUGGUCAGAUUGCCGUAGAUGGUACUUUGCAAUACGGUGCAGUCGUUUACGCCCUAGGUGUACAGUAUUCUCUCCAAUUUUACGAGCUUGUCUUUCAAUCCACCAAAGACGUUUACUAAUCCUGUUUUAAGUCACAAAAGACCGUGUUUAAGCAUCUUCUCAGAAAAGACGUUGUGCUGCGAAGUUACACCACCAAAAGACGUUAAGUGAGCAGGAUAUUAUUACCAGUGUGUUCUUACUUGGUUUGUUCUUCUACCUCGUUUUUACCUUCAGUGGAGGAUAACCUUGGGACUUCUAUUUAUGUCUGUACAGUAAAUGACUUCGUUUAAACGAUAAUCUUUACUGGUUCGGCAAGACGAUGUUUAGUACUAGAAAGUCGUGAUCCGAGAAAUAAGAUCCUACAAUUUAAAGUUUACACACACCCGAAUUUACGUACACCCGAAUUUACACCAUUCACAACUUGUAACAUCAUCUCUAACAUUGUUUCUCUCGGGUAUGAAAUCGACGCGUACCACCCGAAUUUAUAACGUCCACAACUUGUGACAUCACCUCUAACAUUUUUUCAUCGCACGUGAAAUCGACACGUAUCACGGUCAUGCCCUUCCCAAUGUAUCUUUGGACGGACCCAGUUAAGGGACCUAAACAUAGAACGGCCGCUAUACGUGCAAUUCAAUUACCUUACGAAAUAGAGUUU
Molecule: ribosomal RNA, 1100 nt
Filed under: Triticum aestivum (bread wheat)
Lineage: Eukaryota; Viridiplantae; Streptophyta; Magnoliopsida; Poales; Poaceae
Description: partial small subunit ribosomal RNA
Source: RNAcentral